UACGUAGGGGGCUAGCGUUGUCCGGAAUCAUUGGGCGUAAAGAGCGUGUAGGCGGCUUGGUAAGUCCGCUGUGAAAGUCCAGGGCUCAACCCUGGAAUGCCAGUGGAUACUGUCAAGCUAGAGUCCGGAAGAGGCGAGUGGAAUUCCUGGUGUAGCGGUGAAAUGCGCAGAUAUCAGGAGGAACACCAAUGGCGAAGGCAGCUCGCUGGGACGGUACUGACGCUGGAGACGCGAAAGCGUGGGGAGCAAACAGG
RNAcentral lists this ribosomal RNA (254 nucleotides) under uncultured bacterium. RNAcentral describes it as "partial 16S ribosomal RNA". It matches the Rfam family "Bacterial small subunit ribosomal RNA", at positions 524 to 776 of the family's 1533-position model. The record is from RNAcentral.